RNAcentral lists this ribosomal RNA (497 nucleotides) under uncultured bacterium. RNAcentral's name for it is "partial 16S ribosomal RNA". It matches the Rfam family "Bacterial small subunit ribosomal RNA", at positions 28 to 507 of the family's 1533-position model. The record is from RNAcentral.
GAUGAACGCUGGCGGCGUGCCUAAUACAUGCAAGUCGAGCGAACGGACGAGAAGCUUGCUUUUCUGAUGUUAGCGGCGGACGGGUGAGUAACACGUGGAUAACCUACCUAUAAGACUGGGAUAACUUCGGGAAACCGGAGCUAAUACCGGAUAAUAUUUUGAACCGCAUGGUUCAAAAGUGAAAGACGGUCUUGCUGUCACUUAUAGAUGGAUCCGCGCUGCAUUAGCUAGUUGGUAAGGUAACGGCUUACCAAGGCAACGAUGCAUAGCCGACCUGAGAGGGUGGUAGGCCGCACUGGAACGGAGACACGGUCCAGAGUCCUACGAGAGGGAGCAGUAGCGAAUCUUACGCAGAGGGCGGGAGCCUGACGGAGCAACGCCGAGUGAGUGAUAGAGAUCUUCGGAGCGUAAAACUCUGUUAUUAGGGAAGAACAUAUGUGUAAGUAACUGUGGACAUCGUGACGGUACCUAAUCAGAAAGCCACGGCUAACUACGUG